Panicum virgatum (switchgrass) is the source of this 631-nucleotide long non-coding RNA. RefSeq lists it as uncharacterized. The record is from RefSeq and is a predicted model, not a curated record. NCBI's taxonomy places the organism in Eukaryota, Viridiplantae, Streptophyta, Magnoliopsida, Poales, Poaceae. The transcript is spliced from 3 exons.
UUCGCUCAGAGGCCCAGAACUUGCAAAAAGCCCAACUGCAAAGCCCGGCUAGUCUCGGUGAAACCUUCCGCCGGCAGCGCCGGCGGCCACCGGCCAUGGCGGAGAGCCGGAGAGCUCCCCGGCGGUUGCUAACCUCCGGCGCCGUUGGAGACAGCGGGUAUAUAACUUAGUCAGCUCUCUUCUCGGAGAGGAUCCGUCCCCCCAAACCUACCUGCCGCUAUUACCGGAGUGCUGGUCGGUCUCGUGGAUGCCGGAAGAAAUUCAUCUGAGCCUAGGGAUUAUAUCGAGGCAUGACAGUGUCACCUUUGCUUGACCCAGCCGCACAAGCUUCUAGCUUCGCCUGCUGCUGGAAGUUGUUGAGAGAUUCCUCUUCCGACGUGUUUGACAUUGCUUGUAAGUCCAGAUACUGGUUGCAGAGGGUGCCAGCAAGGUGAAGGGGGAUGGUGAUUUAUGCACAACGGAAUGAAAGGGGCUGCAAUUAGACAAUAGGAAAAUGUUUCAUUAAACUUUCAGUCAGCAUCAAGGACUGCAAUUCUGCCGCUAUUUUUUAACUGAUGGAAUGCGAAUCUGAUUGCCUCAUCAGCACGAAUGUUCCGUUUAUUGUUUCUAUAGAUUUUGUCAGUAUCCUGAA